RNAcentral lists this long non-coding RNA (352 nucleotides) under Hordeum vulgare. RNAcentral's name for it is "long non-coding RNA (HVUL_LNC003456)". The record is from RNAcentral. Lineage: Eukaryota; Viridiplantae; Streptophyta; Magnoliopsida; Poales; Poaceae.
UCCUAAUCUCUCCCUUUUUGGGUGCCUUUCCCCUCCUUAUAUAAGUUGAAGGGGCAGGCUUACAUUUAGAGUCCUAGUAGGACUACAACUAGUCUCUUUUCUAUUACAAGCUAUAUCCUAUUCUGGUUCUUGCUUCCCUUUUCAGAGAACUUUUCCUCUUCUUGGACCUUCUCUGCAAUCCAGCCCUCGAGGCCCCUUCGUGAUUUAGCCUUCUACCAGGUUGCACACUAGGCCUUAGUCCUUUUCAUCUAGGCUGAUCCAGUAAACAAGGUGACCCAUGAGCUGCCAAGUGAUGGGGCGGGUUAUACCUCCUGUCCGUGUCAAACAUGGGGAAUAUCCACAACAUUAUCCC